This 371-nucleotide long non-coding RNA is filed under the name Vombatus ursinus (common wombat). RNAcentral's name for it is "lncRNA (ENSVURG00010017433.1)". The record is from RNAcentral. Lineage: Eukaryota; Metazoa; Chordata; Mammalia; Diprotodontia; Vombatidae.
GCGGCGGCGGGUCGGUGUAGAAAAUGGCGGCUGUGCAGCGGGCUGGGCCUCUCCCCUCAGCGCCGCGGACGGACUGAGGCCUCUCUGCGCCUUCUCCCCCUCCCCCCGCCUCCUCCCCGUGCACUUUACACACAUGAGAGAAUUGGAAGCUAAAGCUACCAAAGAAGUCGAAAGGAAACUAAGCAGGGAUUUAGUGAAAGAAGAGGAAGAACAGUUGAUGGAAGAAAGGAAAAAGAGAAAGGACGACAAGAAAAAGAAGGAAGCUGCUCAAAAGAAGGUAAUGUGUAUUUAAAUAUAAACAUAUAAUUUAAGAAAUGAAAAUUGCUUCACCUAAAGUCUUUUCCAAAAGCUUUUGUUGCAUUGUAUCUGCA